RNAcentral lists this long non-coding RNA (386 nucleotides) under Mus spicilegus (steppe mouse). RNAcentral describes it as "lncRNA (ENSMSIG00000002207.1)". Lineage: Eukaryota; Metazoa; Chordata; Mammalia; Rodentia; Muridae. The record is from RNAcentral.
CAGGCCCUGGCUGGCCCGUCUCUCCUCGAGGUCCUGUCUGACCAGGGAACCCAACAACACCAGGAGCACCGGGGGCACCAGGGGGGCCCAAGUCUCCCUGAAACAGAUUCAAAGGAGGAGUGGUCGCACAAAGACACCUUCCCAGGGCCGACACCUAAGAGCAGUGAAGGCACAGAGAAUCAGCAGGCCUGAAGCUGCUACAACUCAUCCGCGAGGCCCCGAGGACACCGCUUGUCUCUUAGGGCCCCACUGGACCCUCCAUCAGCUUCUGAACAACCUACCUUGAUGCCAGCAGUUUCCAGCAAACGCUCCGCGUUCUGAGGACACAAAGAUGGAGGACCUUGUGGGCCUGGAGCACCGGUCCUGCCCUGAGUGAGGAGAGCAGG